Molecule: non-coding RNA, 49 nt
Organism: Schistosoma rodhaini
Lineage: Eukaryota; Metazoa; Platyhelminthes; Trematoda; Strigeidida; Schistosomatidae
Source: Rfam
AUCCAGCUGACGAGUCCCGAAUAGGACGAAACGCGUUGCUAACCAGUAU